This 428-nucleotide ribosomal RNA is filed under the name uncultured bacterium. Its description in RNAcentral is "bacterial SSU rRNA". It matches the Rfam family "Bacterial small subunit ribosomal RNA", at positions 353 to 772 of the family's 1533-position model. The record is from RNAcentral.
AGUGGGGAAUUGUUCGCAAUGGGCGCAAGCCUGACGACGCAACGCCGCGUGGAGGAUGAAGAUCUUCGGGUCGUAAACUCCUGUCGAGCGGGAAGAAACCCGCGGGGGUGAAUAAUCCCUGCGGCUGACGGUACCGCUAAAGGAAGCCCCGGCUAACUCCGUGCCAGCAGCCGCGGUAAUACGGGGGGGGCAAGCGUUGUUCGGAAUUACUGGGCGUAAAGGGCUCGUAGGCGGCCAACUAAGUCGGACGUGAAAUCCCCAGGCUCAACUUGGGAACUGCGUCCGAUACUGGAUGGCUUGAAUCCGGGAGAGGGAUGCAGAAUUCCAGGUGUAGCGGUGAAAUGCGUAGAUAUCUGGAGGAAUACCGGUGGCGAAGGCGGCAUCCUGGACCGGCAUUGACGCUGAGGAGCGAAAGCCAGGGGAGCAAA